Long non-coding RNA from Agrilus planipennis (emerald ash borer), 4406 nucleotides. RefSeq lists it as uncharacterized. The record is from RefSeq and is a predicted model, not a curated record. NCBI's taxonomy places the organism in Eukaryota, Metazoa, Arthropoda, Insecta, Coleoptera, Buprestidae. The transcript has 2 exons.
CUUAAUUAUUAACUUAAUUACAAUUGUUAACAUUAAUAAUUUAUUUAUUUACUAUUUAUUAUCGUAAACUACUCCUUUUUGAGAAGAAUGUGCUUAUUUUUUGUACUGACCCUUUCAAAUUUAAUUUAAAUAGGUACUUUAUAUUUAUAUAGUUUCGGAUUUAACUUGCAAGUAAAAAAAGGAAAUUGUUUUUAAGAUUACUCUUCCUUUCGGGCAUUUCUGUCGGCACACAUAAUAUAAACGUUGCGUUCUACUGUGAUAUUCAACUGUACAUAUUGUACGUCUCUUAUAUAAGUGUCUCAUUAACAUGCAAAUUCAAUUUAUUAGCUUAUGAUUAGCACACUAAACGAUCAAUAAUAAAUAAUAGUUACAAUAUCGUAAUUUAUUGUAAAUUUUCUAAAAUCGAAUCACUUAAUAAGACCACAUUAAAAAAUAAUGACAAUAUUAUGUAAUCAUUAAUACUUAAAUAGUCUUUUAAAGAUCGGUCUUUGCCAGCCCGAAGUAUUAAUUUUCUAUAGUACGUUUGUGUAGCUUCAUUCCCGAUACGAAAAGUACAGUACAUUCGAUAUUUUGUGGUGAAGGUUUUCUUUAGAUUUGAAUACUUAGUUACUGUUUAUUUGUUUAAUAAUUUCUAAUGCUUCACUACGAAUUCCAUUCGAUGAUUAUACCAAUAACGUCCAUGUGAACAGUGCUACGAUGACUUUUUUUAUGUAUUCAUCUGAAUUUACCUCUAUUUUUUUAUAUUAUUGACAAAAUAUUCGCAUGUACCGUGCGGCUAGUCGUCCUGCACUCUUUUUUACGAACAUAGAAUACCAGACUAUGCAGUAUCUGGGUACUAAACAAACAUUAUUCUUUAAUUGCUCUUAAGUAUGUAUAGUUUUACAUCAUUACAGAAAUUCCUUGAUUUGGUUUGAAGUACACAAAAUUUUUAUUCUGAUUCUAAAAUUAAGUUAUGGUAAUCUUAAUUCACCACACAAUACGAAAUGUUUAUUUUUCGUUUCCUUCACUAUGUAUUUUAUUUACAAAAACUCUGUCGUAAUCUUGCAAGUAUUACUAUGUCUAUUAUAAAACAACAAUAGUGUAUCAAAAUUCACAUAAAAUGGACCUGUUUAAAUUUACUCCUUUACUUUCUUAUAAUAUAGGUAAUGAUUGAUAGAUCAAAAGCUAAUCGUAUACAAAACAGUAUUAAUAUAAGCAUUUGUUUUCAGAAAAUUAAUAGUUUGAGGUAAUUUUGAUACAUGCUGUGCAUUUAUAGUACCUAUGUACUCAUUGAUCUUUUAGCAUAUCCCAAAAUACUUUUCACAAAAUCGACGUUUAUUUUCCAAAUUAAAUAUUACUUUCAUUUACUUGAUGCAGUUGUACACUUCUAUAUUGUUAAAUGUUAUUGUUAUAAUUUUAUUGAUUUCAUAUAGGUACUUAAUAUAAUUACAUAAAACAAAUAUACCUGCAACACUAACAAUUUGCUUAACCAAAAAAAAAAUCAUUUAUCACAUAAGCAAAAUAAAACACCAACUGAUAUACCUUAACAACAAAAAAAGAAAACAAUAACACGCAAAACUUUUAUUUAUUGUCUCUUCAUAUAACGAUGCAUGCGGUCUUUUUUCCUACGAUUUUCCAACUUCAACUUCAACUUCUUUGUGUAUAAUUCCGACUGCUUGUGGUCUAACUUUUAUGGUACCUACUUAAACUUAAACAGUAUUAUUAUUAUUAUUAUUAUAAAUGUUCCAAAUUGGUGUGCACUAGAUUUUAAUGUGCAAGGUGAUGGGUAAUGUUACAAAAUUGUUCUGUGUUCCGAAAUUUCCGACUACAAAACUAAUUUUAUUCGUAACUCAAAUCUAAUCAUAUCCAUUGAAGGUGCUGUAGAAGGGCUGUUCUUUAGUUUCUCGAAAUUAUUAAAAAAAAAAAUAGAAAAACUCGCUUUAACUUUAAUCUGUAAACACAACGUACAAAAUGAAUUAACGUACAAUGUAUAUAAAGAACAUUAGCUAUUUUCAUUGUAACCGAUAUUAUUUUUUAUAAAAGUGAAAUUUUUUUUUUCAAGUAAAAGAAAAGGUUAAAGAUCUUAAAUCUUUAUUAUAAUUUUAAGUUAUACAUACAAAAACCUUACAUCACAACUACAAUAAUAUAGGCUACUUACUACAGAAUAUAAAACAUCAACAUUCAAAAAUCUCGUUCAUGUCCUAAAGUAGAUAUAACAUAAAACACAACCUGAUAACAUCCUCAAACCCGUUUUAUCUAUUUUCUCGUACUCAACCUUUACUAGCUUAUCCCCAUUUUUUUGUCUCUCCUCUUUUACCAUUAUUUCCAACAUCUUUUGUAUUAUUCUCUCUUCCAUCGUCAAAUCAUCUCUUACAUACACCUCCGUCUCCUUCGUCCUUUUACCGUCUUGUCUUCAAAUUUCUCCAUUUCUGCCUCCGUUCCCUUUUAACUUUCCAUACUUCUUUCACUUCCAUCUUCAAUCCCAUCUUCCCCUUCAUCACUAUUUAUAAUUCCCUCUUUUCUUUGUUCUCUUCCAACUUAACUCCAAAGAUUAUCAUGUUUAGCUUUCUUUCUUCCAUUCUUUUCUUUUCCAUUUCCUUUCUGCGUAUUAUUUUCUUCUGUUCCUUCACUUGCUUCUCUACGCCUUUUUCAAUCUCUAUCUCCUCAGUACCAUUUCCUUCACUUCUUCUUUUAAACUACUUUCUUCAUUAUAUUUGUCCAAUCCUUCUUCCAUCUCCUAUAAUUUUCCCUUGGUUUCCUUCUCCAUUUCUUUCAACUUUUCGUUUAUACUUUUAUCUUCUUCCAACUUUUAUUGCAAAUUCUCCCAUCUUAUUUCUUGUAAAUCUCUUCUUUUUGUGUUUCAUUAUUUUCUUUCCAAUUUUCUUAAUUGUUUUCCUUUAUCUCUUCCAACAACUCCAUUUCACUAUUAACUUUCUCUAAAUUUUUUCUUUUCAAUUCUUUCUUUUCUUCUUCUGGACUGCACGCUCUUGUUUCAUUUUCCUCCUCGCUUCUUCCUUUAUUCAUCUAAUUUUUUAUGCUAUCUUCUUCCUUACUCUAAAAAAAAUUGCAACUACAAAAGGUUCUGUUCAUUCGCAGGAAAAUUCUGAACAGUGAUACGUUUCAUUUUGUAUAACCCGUGUAAAUAUUUCAAUUUGAUACAUCACCAUUAAAAAAGUUUCACUUUUAUCUCGGAAUCAUGCUUAGGUAUCCUUUUGUAUUUAUUUCUGAGUUUGUUUAAAACAUGUAUAAUAUAAUAGAUUAACCCUGGAUUUACGACUUUUUGAGCUUAAAUUUCAUAUCAGUCAUAGUUAAGAAGAAAAGUAGUAGAUACAUAUAAAAGCUAUUUAUAUUUAAAAUAUCCUUCACGAAUUCCUUGAACAGCCCUUCGUCAAAGAUGAAAUUGUAAAUUGUAACUGCUAUUUUGUUGAUAUUGUCAUAAUACAUGUACAUUGUAACUGUAAAGAUUGUUAUUUGUAAAAGAAUGACCAAUUAAAUAAUAAAUAACCGGUGGUGUAAUGAAAAUAAAUUAAUGGGAUUAUAAAAAUGCAAAUUUUCUUCCUUCAAAAGUACUGACUAAGAAAAUCUUGAUGUUUUCAUUAUUACGGGUGUUUUCUAUUUCAUACAGGGUGUUUACGCAGCUAUAUUUACAUCAGAAUAUUAAUUACAACUACGUUAAUUAGUAUAUUAUUUUGUUUUAAUACAAAAAACGCAUAAAAGUUAAUGUUUCACCUAAGUUCUUCAAAGUCAAUAAGUUUAGUUUACUAUCGUGAUUAUCGGCGAUAACACCCUGUAUAUAAAGAAAAAUAAAAUGUUCAUUUUUCCACAACCUAUCAAAAUCUGAAAGUAAUUCUUUUAUGUCAGAUCUUAAAAUUCUCUCAUAUGCAACAAAUGCACCAUGGUAAGAUACAGGGUAUUUAUUAUGUACAAAUUUAAGUACAUUUUUAGAAGUCGGCUAUACAAAAUUAUGAAAAUUUUUUACUUCCUAGUAUUAAUAAUAAUUAUUUUUAAACCAAGAUUUUCUUAGUUAAUUAAUGAGUCCUUUAAUAAAUAACGAAACUGGAGCACAUACCAUAAUAUUCAUAAUAAUUAAUUUGCAUCAUUACAAAUAUAUACGAUAUAAAUACCACAUCUUUUACUAAAAGUUUAGUCAGUAUGUUAGAAUUGCGACUUGCAAUAUGUAUGUUUAUUUGUUGUAAAUAUGUACCUAUUAUUAAUAACAAUAAGUAUUAAAUUUUCUGUAAAAAGCAUCAUGAGUACUUAAUGAAGUAAGCAUAAGUUACAAAAAUAAUAUACGGACCAUAAAUAAAUUAAGGCAUGAUAUGUAUAGGAGGUAAAUAUACGUAUUUACAUUUGAAUAGGCUUAAGUUUACCUUUGUUACAGAGCUGGUGCUCUUUUUAUUGGUCAAAAAUAAAAUCGUGCAAAGAAA